UACGGAAGGCAGCAGUGGGGAAUAUUGCACAAUGGGCGCAAGCCUGAUGCAGCCAUGCCGCGUGUAUGAAGAAGGCCUUCGGGUUGUAAAGUACUUUCAGUCGUGAGGAAGGUGUUAAGGUUAAUAACCUUAGCAAUUGACGUUAGCGACAGAAGAAGCACCGGCUAACUCCGUGCCAGCAGCCGCGGUAAUACGGAGGGUGCGAGCGUUAAUCGGAAUUACUGGGCGUAAAGGGCACGCAGGCGGUUAAUUAAGUUGGAUGUGAAAUCCCCGGGCUUAACCUGGGAAUGGCAUUCAAGACUGGUUAGCUAGAGUCUUGUAGAGGGGGUAGAAUUCCAUGUGUAGCGGUGAAAUACGUAGAGAUGUGGAGGAAUACCGGUGGCGAAGGCGGCCCCUGGACAAAGACUGACGCUCAUGUGCGAAAGCGUGGGGAGCAAACGAGGAUUAGAUACC
This 453-nucleotide ribosomal RNA is filed under the name uncultured bacterium. RNAcentral describes it as "bacterial SSU rRNA". It matches the Rfam family "Bacterial small subunit ribosomal RNA", at positions 340 to 786 of the family's 1533-position model. The record is from RNAcentral.